This 76-nucleotide transfer RNA is filed under the name Bacillus pseudomycoides. RNAcentral describes it as "tRNA-Asp". The record is from RNAcentral. Lineage: Bacteria; Bacillati; Bacillota; Bacilli; Caryophanales; Bacillaceae.
GGUCCCGUGGUGUAGUGGUUACCAUGCCUGCCUGUCCCGCAGGAGAUCGCCGUUUCGCCCCCGGUCGGGACCGCCA